This is a long non-coding RNA of Calidris pugnax (ruff), 3664 nucleotides long. RefSeq lists it as uncharacterized. The record is from RefSeq and is a predicted model, not a curated record. NCBI's taxonomy places the organism in Eukaryota, Metazoa, Chordata, Aves, Charadriiformes, Scolopacidae. The transcript has 7 exons.
ACCGGCAGCCCCCUGCCCGCUUAUCGGCGGAGGGCACGGCAGGGUUAUCUCCACACCGGCCGGCUCUCCCCGCCCUAUCGGCCCUCCUCAGGGGACGGGACGCCCCUCGCAGCCGGCGCCAGGGCCGCUGCGAGCGCUCCCGCUCCCCGAGGGAGGCUGUUUCCUCACGGGGGCCUGGCGGCUUCUCUGACCCCACAGGGGCAGCACGAGGGGAGCUACUGCCAAGGCCGCGUCCCCCCCACCAUGGAGGGGCUGCCAGCAGCGCCUCAUCACCUUGUGUUAAGGGCCCAGUGGGUGUUGGGGUCCCUGAGCAGCCCCCUUAGCUCUCUGACCCCUCACUGCGCAACGGGCUCCGGGGGCUAAGGGUGCCCACUCCCCACUGGGGAAAACCAUCCCUGGUGGGAAAAGCUCUCUUGGCCCCCCGGGGCUCCUCAGGAGUGGUAGCUGGAGCUAGCUGGUCUGUCUGCCUCUUGAGCUGGGAGGCCAUGGUGGCUCUGACCAUAGCAGCUUUUGAGGAGCCCCUUCCAGGACACCCCAGCUUCUGUGUUCUCCCUGUCCCUCUGAAAUCAGGACAGGCUGAUCUUCCAAGCUGAAGAUGUGGCACUUACCAGAUGUUGAUGCUGUUUGCACUACAUGGCCCGUGAACAGCAGUUUAGCCUGGUGAGGUUGACUCAUGGGGACUGGCUCUUUGCCAUUGUUUGUAAAAGUCAUUCCUUGGACUUUCUAUCAAUCAGACAUUCCUUUCAAGAAAGUAUCAUUAGUUAUUUUGGCACCCUCCAGUCUUUGCUUUUAUGUUCUCCCCAAUUCCUCACUGUUCUUAGCGUUUAUUCAAGUAGUUACGGCACGUAGGUCCUUUCUACCACACCUUCUUGUUUACAAACCUAAUUUAAACACAGUACUUGAGGAAUCAGACCAUGGUAGACAAAGACAAAAGGAUUUGCAAUGAGUUUUGUAAGCAGCAUUCUGUUAUUACUGAACAGUUUUCACACACACUAAAUUCUACUUAAAUUAUUUUUCCAGAAUUCACCGUUGGGGAUUCACUCUGCUGGAUCUAGCUGUGCUGCAUCCCCUGUUUGCUGUCCGUCUGAUUCCUACUUCUAGAAGUCCUCCAGAGGCAGAGCUAGGACAUCACCUGCUGACAGCCCACUCCCACCUUCGUGUAAUCCAGCCAAAAUCAGUCACCAGCCAGCAAGCGUUUGCCAAGGGCAGACCUCCUGUAGAUCUCUCAAAGCUACAAGGAAGUCCGGUCCGAAACCACUGCUGGAGUGAAACCCUAAUCUCAGCACCAAUUUGCCUGAAGAGAUUUCAAAUUCGUGUUCUCAUUGCUGGGUCACAUCAUUAAAUAAAUAGAAGCUUUUAAGUAACUGCACAUGGAAGAAAGCGAGCUGUUUUGUUCCUGCAGUGCCUCUAGCCCAGCGGGAGCCCCACAGGGAUUCCAGCUCUGGCCAGCAGUGCCUGGAGCUACCGAAACCUGCUCUUUAGACAUGGAAGAGGGGACAUGUCUCUGCUGAAUGGCAUCAUCCUCAUCUCCCCCAUUCGCCAGGACUGCUGUGACCUGAACACACCACCACCAUUUCUGCCCACAGCCAGGCUUAUGGAAGAUGCUUAUGUUAGAAGCCGGAUUGCCAGAGUUCCUCUCUACUCAACUGAUGUUUAUGUGGGCUUGUUAAACGCCUGAGCUUUGAUUGAGGGCAAAACAUCUAAUCUAGACGCUGAGAAUUCAGCUCCAGGAUGGUGCAAAUAUCCCAUAGAAAAACUAAUGACGUGGCACAAAUUAUCUCCCUGAGGUGGACAAAGGCUGGGAGCAGUGGAAGCAGACAGACCACGAAUCCCAGCGGUACCUGAGUGCUGCUGUUGAAGAUGCUGUGGUAGUGCUUGGGGAACCAUCACCCAGGAGUACCCAGCCUGUAAAUCCAUCUGCUGGACACGGAUCUGAGCAUUUGACAGCUGGGUGAAGUGGGGAGGGGGUGUCUGUGGUGUGUGGUCCCUGAAUGAUGGAGCCCCAGGUGCUAGAUGAAUGCUGGGGAACCCCACUGCUGCCUGGAUGUGGACCAGGGACACGGCCCCGCUUUCCCACCUGGGAGAAGAGCAGACAUCAGUCUGUAUCAGCGAGGAGAAACCUAUCUGAAAAUUUCCCUAUCAGAGGUGAAACUCACCUUCGAACAACAAAGCCACCCCUUCCAGGGGAAGGAAAAGCAAAGAAACCUAGUUUUCACUGACCUGCUAUGAGGAGAUGUCUAUGCGAAGCUGCGGCUGUAGAACUGCUGUGGUGCAAACAGUUCUCCCAGAAUAAAGGUCUUUGGCUCAAAUCAGCUCCUUCAUUGCACUGAGGAGGGUGGCUGUCAGGAGGAGGCAUUAGUGAGUGCUAGCAGGGCACUACCAACCAGCUUUUCUUACAACUCUAGGCACCUUUCACCUGGAGACGAAUGAACAUUUUUAGCUCUCCGCAUGCUGUUUGUGGAUUGUCACACACAAAAAAAAUAAGUAAACCUCUUACAACUAAUUAACAGCUACCACUUAUAAAAGUUCUUUGAGUAUCAAUACGAACUGCUGCUCCACUCAUCUCAGUGUGCAGCGUUUGCACGUUAUCAAGGCAGAGAAUGAAGCGAGUGGGAGUCGGGCGCAGGGAGCUCAAUCAGGCUCCGUGGGCUGAACGCGGUCCUCGGCGCAGCGCUGGAUCUCACGCUUAAUAAAUAAUUGUGACAGAUGUUGAGAAAUCUGAAAGCUCGUAUUUUAAUGUGGUGCUAAAUUCAAGUAGACAUGUCUACAGAAUAAAAAAUGAGAGAAUUUAGACUAAGCCAGUCUAAAUGUGCUGAAAUUUCAUCAUUAAGCAUCUAUUUAAGCACCUUCGAGUUAAUGCUUUCAGGAUCAGGAGCCAGAGACGUGUGUGUUUGGUGGUUGUGCAGGCACUGGGACGUGGUGCGGUUCCACGGGGAGCUGAUGGGGUGAUAUGGCAAGAGACCACCAGUACCGAGCUGCUCUGAGUCCCAGGGGGAAAGAGACAGGGCUUGAAACGCAUUCAGCCUAACAGAACUGCCUUUUGUCUUUUUUCUCUGCCAUUGUAGUAUCUGUGCAUCAAGCUUUGUGCUUAAGCAAAGCUUAAAGCUGAUGGUAUAUAGGAAAGGCCAGACCCAUCCGUUGUUUCCGUGGUAGUUUUUCUGUGAUUGCUUAUUGCAGCAGAGAACUCAGACUGAAAUGUCCCCUGGCCCUGCACGUAACAGGUCUCUCCUGGCAGCAGUGCUCAGGAGAGCAGGUUAUUUCUGUCACCUUCCCCAAGCAACCAUUGUGGUUAAAACAGGGCAUUGUCCCUAGCCAGCAUCCCUCAUCUCCCAUGGAGAAGAUAAUUAGAAAAGCAAUUAUUUAAAUUGUUUGGAGACCUUCCAGAUGAAAUACCUACUGCCGGAGAAGAGUGAAGGUGAAGGAAUGUUUCCAGAAAACAAACGUCCACACUUCACAUAUCCAAGGGCUGAAUAAGGGGCUUGCCUGGUGACUGAUGCUCGCGGAGCCUGACUCACAUAAGCUGCAUGGACUGGAGUCAGCGGGGUUACUUAAACCUCAGUCUGCAAAGGGCUGGGUGAUAAAUUUCAGACCCUGAUUUGGCUACGGGAAUAAGCCAGAAAUGUAGGUAAGGUCACAGACUGUACUUCAUUUCAUAUUUCUGGUG